This 413-nucleotide ribosomal RNA is filed under the name uncultured bacterium. RNAcentral's name for it is "bacterial SSU rRNA". It matches the Rfam family "Bacterial small subunit ribosomal RNA", at positions 505 to 916 of the family's 1533-position model. The record is from RNAcentral.
GUGCCAGCAGCCGCGGUAAUACGUAGGGUGCAAGCGUUAAUCGGAAUUACUGGGCGUAAAGCGAGCGCAGGCGGUUAUUUAAGUCAGGUGUGAAAGCCCCGAGCUCAACUUGGGACGUGCAUUUGAAACUGGGUAACUAGAGUGUGUCAGAGGGGGGUAGAAUUCCACGUGUAGCAGUGAAAUGCGUAGAGAUGUGGAGGAAUACCGAUGGCGAAGGCAGCCCCCUGGGAUAACACUGACGCUCAUGCUCGAAAGCGUGGGUAGCAAACAGGAUUAGAUACCCUGGUAGUCCACGCCCUAAACGAUGACAAUUAGCUGUUGGGAGAUUAAAAGCUCUUGGUAGCGUAGCUAACGCGUGAAAUUGUCCGCCUGGGGAGUACGGUCGCAAGAUUAAAACUCAAAGGAAUUGACGG